This is a long non-coding RNA of Triplophysa dalaica, 857 nucleotides long. RefSeq lists it as uncharacterized. The record is from RefSeq and is a predicted model, not a curated record. NCBI's taxonomy places the organism in Eukaryota, Metazoa, Chordata, Actinopteri, Cypriniformes, Nemacheilidae. The transcript is spliced from 3 exons.
CGUAGAAAUGGCUAAACAACAUUACAAUUCGAACGGCGGACACUUUUGAGCGAAAGGAUCCACCGAUGCAAACCACAAAACACCGCUGUAGAUGAAAAAUCUGUCACUUCACGUGUAACGGAGGCCAGCUGUUAGAGGGAGAGCUGUGUGUGCAGGCAGAGGUGCGAGCUCGUCUCUCCCUCAGAGGACCGAUGGCGGUUUCGAGACUAUGAGGGGUUGCAUUACCACGGUGCUCACCGUGUCCACCAUCAUCACAGGGGAAACCGCCUCCAUGCCCCGAGUGUCUUACAUCAAAUGUGGAAAUUAACCUUUGGGUCAGAUUAGUCAUUAUGUCUGUGAUCGAGCACGCAGCUGUCCACAUUACAGGAGCGUAAAGAGAGGACACAAAGCAGUAAGUUGCCGUGUACGUGUGGAAUGGUUCAUCCGGGGCAGAUGAUGUACAACAGCAGCUACAGUGACAUGGAUGUGAUGAGCACCGGGAACUACGGCAUGUCAGAGCUGAAAGGAGACACAAAGGAUCAGUUCCUGAUGCAUUUAGUUUUGGAUAAUGAACAAGGACCUUCACGCAGCAGUUUAUUUAUAGACACACAUGCUAUUGACAAAUACUCAUGGCUCAUCUUCCCUGGAGCGUACACACUCUUCAACAUUAUAUACUGGUCCAUAUACUCUCGGUGACUGCUGCUCCUUUCUUUUUACUCUACAGACAUUUGCGAAGCAGAAUCACAAUACAUUUUGUACUGUGAUGAUCAAAAAACUAAUUUUCUCAACUUGUCAAUAACAAAUAUUCUUGAUACGUGUGUGUAUCAUUUUACAGUUAACAAAGAAAAGCAUGCAUUCUUUUUUUUGUGAAAAACACA